AAAUGUGUCGUUCUUUAAGGUUAAUUAAAGAUUGAAAGCGGGAUGGUUAAGACAUUGGACUUAGUAGUCCACCAAGUCCGGCUCAUUGACAGACUGUUACUCAACCCAAACAAUUAAUUUAACCUGCUUGAACUUUUUUAUAUAUAUUUAAAAAAAAAAAUACCAGUAACAUCUACAACAUAUUAUACAAUAUCUCUAUCUGUGUUGCAAGAAUUUUAGCUUAUGAAGGUGGAAUCACGGACAUUGCUAUAUUACAGCCAUCUUACAAACUGAGGGCAAGGAGCCAGCAAGAAACCUGGUACAGUGCUGGAAAAAAAAUUCACAGUAAAUGCUGCAGAACUGCUUUGACUGUGUAAGCUGAGACAUAUUUAGAAAUUCAUCAUUGUACUUGAAUGAAUGUGUUGACAUUGUUACGGGAUUCAUCAAAAAAAAUUGUUAGGGGUGUUGGAAAACCAACUAAGAGAUCCAGAGCAUUAGGGGCCUAUCAUGCAAGCUUCUGACCCUCAGAAACUUGCCUUCUGAUUGGGUUGUAACUUUGGGUCUGCCAGAUUUCUUCCUGUUAGAGUUUCUUCCCAUUUACAAUUGCCUGUGGAUUUUAUAGGAAACUGUACACAGUGACACUUUGAUUAGUUUUUACAGUUUAUCUAAAUGUAAGGC
Long non-coding RNA from Polypterus senegalus (gray bichir), 657 nucleotides. RefSeq lists it as uncharacterized. NCBI's taxonomy places the organism in Eukaryota, Metazoa, Chordata, Cladistia, Polypteriformes, Polypteridae. The transcript has 3 exons. The record is from RefSeq and is a predicted model, not a curated record.